This is a long non-coding RNA of Oreochromis niloticus (Nile tilapia), 885 nucleotides long. RefSeq lists it as uncharacterized. NCBI's taxonomy places the organism in Eukaryota, Metazoa, Chordata, Actinopteri, Cichliformes, Cichlidae. The transcript is spliced from 3 exons. The record is from RefSeq and is a predicted model, not a curated record.
GCAGUAUUUCCCAAAAGCAGAGUUUGUACAUUCCUAAUAAUAUUGAAAGACAGUAUUUGUUAUGGCACUUGUAUGCUUCAACACAGCCUGAACUUUCUGAGGUGGCGUUCUGUAAUUUCUUUAAGUAUCUUCAGGAAUUAUUGUCCAGGCUUCCUGAAGGACAUCCUAUGCUCUUCUCUGGAUAUUUCUGCCUUUUAUUUGUUCUCUGUCAAGAUGAUCCCACACUGCUUAAUACUGAGUUCCAGGCUCUGGAGAGAUCAAUCUAUUAGGAGCUGUUGUGUAUGUGUGGCGUUCUUGGGUUUUUUCCUUUUUUGGCACAGGUAGGCGGGGCGGUGCUUUGCAGGAUCCCCGGCACACCUGCGGCGCAUCAGACAUCAUCAGAGGGAGCAUUUUUAAAGAGCUGUGCGACGGACGUCUGGUGUCAAAGUAUUGUCGCUUCCACAAGUGCCUGCCCCGCUAUCCGCUCGCCUGCCUGUUGUUGUGUUCUCUGAUCUAAAACAGAGAUAUACCUCGCCUCUGCCUGUGGUUCCAGAAGGUCACUGCCCGUGUCUGUAUUUACAGUGUGUCAAAUCGCCCCAGUACGCCACCAAUCGUCCCGUACGCCCCGGGCUCUGUGUUUUGUUUUCUCCUUGUCCUCGCAGGUUUAGCCAGUCCCUGUAAAUAGCCCCAACCCUUGUAAAUACUUCUAUCUUGGCCUCACCCAACUGACUUAGAACUGCAUUCAACCCUCCAUCUUCAUCUUCACCACCGCCAGCGUCUUGAAUCCAGGGAUCCUGUCUUAAAUCCAAUCACUUCAUAACAGACUUUAAGAAAACAGACCAUAAAGUCUGUUUUCAACAGCACAAAAACUUGCCUCCUAUUAACCUCAGAAAGCCUUUCAAGAAG